RNAcentral lists this ribosomal RNA (557 nucleotides) under Holopogon currani. RNAcentral describes it as "partial 16S ribosomal RNA". It matches the Rfam family "Bacterial large subunit ribosomal RNA", at positions 1796 to 2622 of the family's 2925-position model. Lineage: Eukaryota; Metazoa; Arthropoda; Insecta; Diptera; Asilidae. The record is from RNAcentral.
UCGCCUGUUUAUCAAAAACAUGUCUUUUAGAAAUUAAUUUAAAGUCUAACCUGCCCGUUGAAUUUAAUUGAAAGGCCGCAGUACUUUAACUGUGCAAAGGUAGCAUAAUCAUUAGUCUUUUAAUUGAAGGCUUGUAUGAAUGGUUGGACGAGGUAUUAACUGUUUCAAUUUAAUAUAUAAAACUUUACUUUUUAGUUAAAAGGCUAAAAUUUUUUUAAAAGACGAGAAGACCCUAUAGAUCUUUAUAACUAUUUUAUUAACUAUAUUUAGAAUAAUUAAUUUUUAAUAAAUUAUGUUAUUUUGUUGGGGUGACAUUAAGAUUUAAAUAACUCUUAAUAAUAUUUAUUACAUAAAUUAAUGAAUAUUUGAUCCUAUAUUAUAGAUUAAAAAUUUAAGUUACCUUAGGGAUAACAGCGUAAUUUAUUUAGAGAGUUCAUAUCGAUAAAUAAGAUUGCGACCUCGAUGUUGGAUUAAGAAAUAUGGCUGGGUGCAGAAGUUCAGUUUUAUAAGUCUGUUCGACUUUUAAUUUCUUACAUGAUCUGAGUUCAAACCGGAGA